CCUACGAGCGGCAGCAGUGAGGAAUAUUGGUCAAUGGGCGGAAGCCUGAACCAGCCAAGUCGCGUGAGGGAAUAAGGCCCUACGGGUCGUAAACCUCUUUUGCAGGGGAGCAAGGGCGGGGACGUUUCCCGGCCCGGAGAGUACCCGGAGAAAAAGCAUCGGCUAACUCCGUGCCAGCAGACGCGGUAAUACGGAGGAUGCGAGCGUUAUCCGGAUUUAUUGGGUUUAAUGGGUGCGUAGGCGGGCUUUUAAGUCAGCGGUAAAAAUUCGGGGCUCAACCCCGUCCGGCCGUUGACAAGGGGGGCCGUGAGUGGGCGAGAAGAAGGCGGAAUGCGUGGUGUAGCGGUGAAAUGCAUAGAUAUCACGCAGAACCCCGAUUGCGAAGGCAGCCUUCCGGCGCCCUACUGACGCUGAGGCACGAAAGUGCGGGGAUCGAACAGGAUUAGAUACCCUUGUAGUC
This 460-nucleotide ribosomal RNA is filed under the name uncultured bacterium. RNAcentral describes it as "partial 16S ribosomal RNA". It matches the Rfam family "Bacterial small subunit ribosomal RNA", at positions 338 to 795 of the family's 1533-position model. The record is from RNAcentral.